Molecule: non-coding RNA, 326 nt
Organism: Paramuricea clavata
Lineage: Eukaryota; Metazoa; Cnidaria; Anthozoa; Malacalcyonacea; Plexauridae
Source: the annotation of a GenBank genome assembly
CCUGCCUAAACAUAAAUAUCGAUUGAAAUAACAAAAAUCAACUUACCGUUUGCUGUGAAAAAUUCCUUCGAGCAUUUCUUCCAGUGUUGCCAACUGUAAAUUUGCUAAGUGAGGCAUCUGCCAGUAUUAUUAAAGUCGUUAAAUACUUUUCUGUGGGAUUUAAUAUCAUAGAUUAAGUAUAUUCUUCAUCUGUAAAUAUCGUCGCCUCAUGCCAUGAACGACAGUUUCCGAAGUAAAGUCGACAAUCUCCGUCACAACUUCACAUAUCUUACAAACAUUUUUAGCGUUACAUUGUGGCUAGCCCGCGAACGGGCUAGCCACAAAAA